GUGCUCACUUUGACAGUGCAUAUUCUAAAAUAGAAACCAUACAGAGAAGAUUGGCAUGGCCCCAAUGAAAGGAUGACAUGGCCCGGUGUAACUUUCAUAUUUUU
Small nuclear RNA from Aotus nancymaae (Ma's night monkey), 104 nucleotides. Lineage: Eukaryota; Metazoa; Chordata; Mammalia; Primates; Aotidae. The record is from Ensembl.